ACGCUCGACACCUACGGGAGACAGCAGUGGGGAAUAUUGCACAAUGGGGGAAACCCUGAUGCAGCGACGCCGCGUGAGCGAAGAAGUAUCUCGGUAUGUAAAGCUCUAUCAGCAGGGAAGAAGAUGACGGUACCUGACUAAGAAGCACCGGCUAAAUACGUGCCAGCAGCCGCGGUAAUCUGGAGGCGGGCUGGCAAGGC
Molecule: ribosomal RNA, 200 nt
Filed under: uncultured bacterium
Lineage: Bacteria
Description: partial 16S ribosomal RNA
Rfam family: Bacterial small subunit ribosomal RNA
Source: RNAcentral